This 435-nucleotide long non-coding RNA is filed under the name Vigna radiata. RNAcentral describes it as "long non-coding RNA (VRAD_LNC009390)". Lineage: Eukaryota; Viridiplantae; Streptophyta; Magnoliopsida; Fabales; Fabaceae. The record is from RNAcentral.
AGUGGGGAAAGAGACGUUGAUGUUAUUGUUUGGGUGUGGGGAACAGACAAUUGAGAAAGAUUUGCAACCAAUGGUGACAAAGUCAAUUAAACCUUAUUAACGCAAAAUAUCAGUACAAUUAUUAUAAUUCUGAAACCACCAAGAGAAAUUAAAUUAAAGAUCAGAAAAUGUACAAAAUUUACAUUCUCAUGUUUCUCCAUUUUCUUCUUCACACUCCCAUCAUCAAAACAUCAUUAAUUCUCCCUCCAACGGACCCUUCUACUCUUUACCCAUACCUAAUUAUCUAACUUCACUCCUUCAACAUUAUUAUAUUACCUCUACCUCUACAGUUUUUUACCACCUCUUGAUGCAAGCCACGUGUCCUUUUAGCUGUGUGAAUCAGAAUCGUAUAUCAGAUUCUGAAUUGUCUGCAUGAACCACCGAAACCAGACUCGU